CUCAAGCACUAGAUCGCCCCCAUUCUACAGAUGCGGCCACGGAGGCAAGUGCCACCCGCGCAGGACACGCAGCUAGCCGAGCCGGUGAGAGACAUUGCGAACCUCCAAACCCGGGUCAGAAGAACCCCAGUGUGUGCUCUGCAGGGGUCGUGGGCUGAAAUGAUUGAGUUCUGGACCCUCUUGGAGUCACCAAAUUUUGUGAGUGACCCCAACUGCCCAGAAGCGUUUUUGAGUCAAA
This is a long non-coding RNA of Suricata suricatta (meerkat), 238 nucleotides long. RefSeq lists it as uncharacterized. The transcript has 3 exons. NCBI's taxonomy places the organism in Eukaryota, Metazoa, Chordata, Mammalia, Carnivora, Herpestidae. The record is from RefSeq and is a predicted model, not a curated record.